This 723-nucleotide ribosomal RNA is filed under the name uncultured bacterium. RNAcentral's name for it is "bacterial SSU rRNA". It matches the Rfam family "Bacterial small subunit ribosomal RNA", at positions 89 to 804 of the family's 1533-position model. The record is from RNAcentral.
AUCUUAGUGGCGGACGGGUGAGUAACGCGUGGGUAAUCUACCUUUUAGUGGGGAAUAACAGUUGGAAACGACUGCUAAUACCGCAUAAGCUGCUUAGGCAGGAAAGAUGGCCUCUGAGUAUGCUGUCGCUAAAAGAUGAGCCCGCGUCUGAUUAGCUAGUUGGCAGGGUAAAGGCCUACCAAGGCGACGAUCAGUAGCCGGCCUGAGAGGGUGAACGGCCACACUGGGACUGAGACACGGCCCAGACUCCUACGGGAGGCAGCAGUGGGGAAUAUUGCGCAAUGGGGGAAACCCUGACGCAGCGACGCCGCGUGAGCGAAGAAGGCCUUAGGGUUGUAAAGCUCUGUUUUAAGGGACGAAUGUGCAGCCGAGUAAUAUGCGGUUGCAAUGACGGUACCUUAAGAGGAAGCCCCGGCUAACUACGUGCCAGCAGCCGCGGUAAGACGUAGGGGGCGAGCGUUGUCCGGAAUUACUGGGCGUAAAGAGCACGUAGGCGGAGACUUAAGUCAGGUGUGAAAGACCGGGGCUCAACCCCGGGGUUGCACUUGAAACUGGGUUUCUUGAGGGCAGGAGAGGAAAGCAGAAUUCCUGGUGUAGCGGUGAAAUGCGUAGAAAUCAGGAGGAAUACCAGUGGCGAAGGCGGCUUUCUGGACUGACCCUGACGCUGAGGUGCGAAAGCGUGGGUAGCAAACAGGAUUAGAUACCCUGGUAGUCCACGCCGUA